This 484-nucleotide ribosomal RNA is filed under the name uncultured bacterium. RNAcentral describes it as "partial 16S ribosomal RNA". It matches the Rfam family "Bacterial small subunit ribosomal RNA", at positions 30 to 507 of the family's 1533-position model. The record is from RNAcentral.
AUUGAACGCUGGCGGCAGGCCUAACACAUGCAAGUCGAGCGGAUGAAGGGAGCUUGCUCCUGGAUUCAGCGGCGGGCGGGUGAGUAAUGCCUAGGAAUCUGCCUGGUAGUGGGGGAUAACGUCCGGAAACGGGCGCUAAUACCGCAUACGUCCUGAGGGAGAAAGUGGGGGAUCUUCGGACCUCACGCUAUCAGAUGAGCCUAGGUCGGAUUAGCUAGUUGGUGGGGUAAAGGCCUACCAAGGCGACGAUCCGUAACUGGUCUGAGAGGAUGAUCAGUCACACUGGAACUGAGACACGGUCCAGACUCCUACGGGAGGCAGCAGUGGGGAAUAUUGGACAACGGGCGAAAGCCUGAUCCAGCCAUGCCGCGUGUGUGAAGAAGGUCUUCGGAUUGUAAAGCACUUUAAGUUGGGAGGAAGGGCAGUAAGUUAAUACCUUGCUGUUUUGACGUUACCAACAGAAUAAGCACCGGCUAACUUCGUG